GCCAGAAUGGUUUAGCAGUUUGAAUGUUAGACUACAACUCUGGAGACCAGGGUUCAAAUCUCCGCUUGGUUA
Phrynosoma platyrhinos (Desert horned lizard) is the source of this 72-nucleotide non-coding RNA. Lineage: Eukaryota; Metazoa; Chordata; Lepidosauria; Squamata; Phrynosomatidae. The record is from the annotation of a GenBank genome assembly.